Molecule: non-coding RNA, 1959 nt
Organism: Phacochoerus africanus (Common warthog)
Lineage: Eukaryota; Metazoa; Chordata; Mammalia; Artiodactyla; Suidae
Source: the annotation of a RefSeq genome assembly
ACGGGAUCUGAGCCAAGUCUCCCAGAACCCCCUCCUUCCUUCCCUUGAGCAGUAAGAUGCCCUGUUCCUACCUUCCAUGGAAUUUGUCUUGGAUUUAUUCAGUUAUGCUGCCCAGGAAGCAGGUGAGGCCCAGGAGCACAGGGAGAAGAUUUCUUCCUGGAAUUGACAUAGCAUUUUGUAUGUAGCCCAAGAGGCCCUGUCUCCUGCCAUUCAGUCCCCACCCCCACCCUGAACGCUGCUGCCACUCAGAACCUGUAACCUCUGGGCACAAGGAGGGGCAGGUCGUGACAGUUUCGUGUGAAGAAGAUUGCCAUGUGGAAUAGUAACUGGUGCCAACAUAAGCUGGCCUCAGACCAGCAGCUUUUCUAUCUCAGUAACAGAGAUAGAACAGUAACAGAAAAAUAGAUGGUUCUGGGAACUCUACAUCUUUGGGUCUUAACUUGAUAACCCUGGCAUGUAAGCCCUAAGUUUGAGAGACUCAGCAGAGUAUCUCUGAGAACAUGACUCUGCAGUUUUCACCUCUCUGACACAUAUUUCCUUGGUUUUUUUGGUUAUGGUUGUUGUUUCAUACCAACUCUCAGGGCCUUCUCCAAUCCCCUAACCCUUUCUCCCUCACUACUCAGAAAUAAAAGGAAGUGGUUCAUAACAAAUGUUGCCCCAUUAAAAAAAAAGUCAGAUACUAACCACUGAUUUCAGUUGCAUGUUAUGCUAUGUUUUUUGGAAGAUUCCAGACAGUCUGUUCAAUUUUGCAUUUCUUGUUACUGUAUCCAUCCUGGAAUUUUUCUGGCAUAAGGGAGUUCACCACCUUCCCAGACAAAAGAUAUUACAUUGAUGACCUUGAAGUACAGGCAGCAUGACCAUGAAGGUUUUGGUACAUAAGGCAUCAUGGAGAUUCAUGCAAGUAAAGAGGAAACUCGUCUUUGACCUACAGAUGAAAUAAAAGCGUCCAACUCAGAUCUACACUCGGGGCAUCAUUUUUUUCCCCUUUACUUUCAAAUCUGUCCACUAGUUCAAUGAGCUUCUAGAGAAACGUGGUGGCAAUUACCCCAGCGUCCCCCUUGUCCAAUUUCAUGUGCCUGGGGAAAUAGAGCACCUCAUAAAAGAGACAACUCAAAGAGGAGGAACUGCCUUGUGGGGACAAGGGACACAACACCGCUCCUGCUCUGCACACACUCACAAGGACCUGAGCUGGUGAACUUCCCAUUUCUGGCUGCUCUGACUCCGCCAUGGGCACCGGGCUCCUCUGCUGGGCGACCCUCUGCCUCCUGGGGGCAGAACUCACAGAAGGGGGAGUUGUCCAAUCCCCCAGAUACAAGAUCACGGAGGAAAGACAGACUGUGGCUUUGUGGUGUGAUCCUAUUUCUGGCCACAGUCUCCUUUCCUGGUACCGGCAGACCCUGAGACCUGGCCUGGAGCUGCUGAUUUACUUUGAGGAAGAGGCUGACAUAAAUGUUUCUCAGUUGCCCCAGAAGCGAUAUUUUGCAGAGAGGCCCGAAGGAGCCAAGUCUACACUCAGGAUCCAGCCCACAGAGCUGGGGGACUCGGCUGUGUAUUUCUGUGCCAGUAGAUUAGUCACAGCCUUGCAGAGACCCUUCCUUCCUGUGCACAAACGUCAUGAUGCUGCCCGUCCAUGUAGCUCGAGACAGUGGCCUCCUCUCAUCACGCAAGGGGAAGAACUGGCUGUGCAGAGACAAGCUCUGAUGUAUUUACAGGCGAGGGCAUCCAUUAUUUCGGGAAGUGUGAGGGCUGAAAUUGUUGUUUGCAAAUAAUUAUGAUUCAGGGAUUAGAAACUUCCUGGUGACAACUCAAGAAUCCAAGACAGAACCUUCUUGUGGCAGACUCAAGCUUUGGGGGCUAGCGACAGUGGUUCUCCUAGAAAAAUAUAUAAUCACAAAACAUGUACAUUAAACUUUAAUAAUACAGAUGGUGGAGUUCCCCCUGUGGCUCAGAGGAAAUGAA